GACGAACGCUGGCGGCGUGCCUAAUACAUGCAAGUAGGACGCACAGCCUAUACCGUAGCUUGCUACACCAUAGGCUGUGAGUUGCGAACGGGUGAGUAACGCGUAGGUAACCUGCCUAUUAGAGGGGGAUAACUAUUGGAAACGAUAGCUAAUACCGCAUAACAGUAUGUAACACAUGUUAGAUGCUUGAAAGAUGCAAUUGCAUCGCUAGUAGAUGGACCUGCGUUGUAUUAGCUAGUAGGUAGGGUAAUGGCCUACCUAGGCAACGAUACAUAGCCGACCUGAGAGGGUGAUCGGUCACACUGGGACUGAGACACGGCCCAGACUCCUACGGGAGGCAGCAGUAGGGAAUCUUCGGCAAUGGGGGGAACCCUGACCGAGCAACGCCGCGUGAGUGAAGAAGGUUUUCGGAUCGUAAAGCUCUGUUGUUAAGGAAGAACGAGUGUGAGAAUGGAAAGUUCAUACUGUGACGGUACUUAACCAGAAAGGGACGGCUAACUACGUGCCAGCAGCCGCGGUAAUACGUAGGUCCCGAGCGUUGUCCGGAUUUAUUGGGCGUAAAGCGAGCGCAGGCGGUUAGAAAAGUCUGAAGUGAAAGGCAGUGGCUCAACCAUUGUAGGCUUUGGAAACUGUUUAACUUGAGUGCAGAAGGGGAGAGUGGAAUUCCAUGUGUAGCGGUGAAAUGCGUAGAUAUAUGGAGGAACACCGGUGGCGAAAGCGGCUCUCUGGUCUGUCACUGACGCUGAGGCUCGAAAGCGUGGGGAGCGAACAGG
This 773-nucleotide ribosomal RNA is filed under the name Streptococcus anginosus. Its description in RNAcentral is "bacterial SSU rRNA". It matches the Rfam family "Bacterial small subunit ribosomal RNA", at positions 28 to 776 of the family's 1533-position model. The record is from RNAcentral. Lineage: Bacteria; Bacillati; Bacillota; Bacilli; Lactobacillales; Streptococcaceae.